RNAcentral lists this ribosomal RNA (850 nucleotides) under Bacillus subtilis. RNAcentral describes it as "bacterial SSU rRNA". It matches the Rfam family "Bacterial small subunit ribosomal RNA", at positions 91 to 925 of the family's 1533-position model. The record is from RNAcentral. Lineage: Bacteria; Bacillati; Bacillota; Bacilli; Caryophanales; Bacillaceae.
GUUAGCGGCGGACGGGUGAGUAACACGUGGGUAACCUGCCUGUAAGACUGGGAUAACUCCGGGAAACCGGGGCUAAUACCGGAUGGUUGUUUGAACCGCAUGGUUCAAACAUAAAAGGUGGCUUCGGCUACCACUUACAGAUGGACCCGCGGCGCAUUAGCUAGUUGGUGAGGUAACGGCUCACCAAGGCAACGAUGCGUAGCCGACCUGAGAGGGUGAUCGGCCACACUGGGACUGAGACACGGCCCAGACUCCUACGGGAGGCAGCAGUAGGGAAUCUUCCGCAAUGGACGAAAGUCUGACGGAGCAACGCCGCGUGAGUGAUGAAGGUUUUCGGAUCGUAAAGCUCUGUUGUUAGGGAAGAACAAGUACCGUUCGAAUAGGGCGGUACCUUGACGGUACCUAACCAGAAAGCCACGGCUAACUACGUGCCAGCAGCCGCGGUAAUACGUAGGUGGCAAGCGUUGUCCGGAAUUAUUGGGCGUAAAGGGCUCGCAGGCGGUUUCUUAAGUCUGAUGUGAAAGCCCCCGGCUCAACCGGGGAGGGUCAUUGGAAACUGGGGAACUUGAGUGCAGAAGAGGAGAGUGGAAUUCCACGUGUAGCGGUGAAAUGCGUAGAGAUGUGGAGGAACACCAGUGGCGAAGGCGACUCUCUGGUCUGUAACUGACGCUGAGGAGCGAAAGCGUGGGGAGCGAACAGGAUUAGAUACCCUGGUAGUCCACGCCGUAAACGAUGAGUGCUAAGUGUUAGGGGGUUUCCGCCCCUUAGUGCUGCAGCUAACGCAUUAAGCACUCCGCCUGGGGAGUACGGUCGCAAGACUGAAACUCAAAGGAAUUGACGGGGGCCCGCA